AAACCAUGUAUCAAGCAUUUUCUAAUGAAUUCCUUGAAUCGCUCCCAAGCUUCAUACAAUGUCUCAUCUUCAGAUUACUGAAAAGAUGUAAUAUCAUUCUUGAAUUU
Gossypium raimondii (Peruvian cotton) is the source of this 107-nucleotide non-coding RNA. The record is from Rfam. NCBI's taxonomy places the organism in Eukaryota, Viridiplantae, Streptophyta, Magnoliopsida, Malvales, Malvaceae.